RNAcentral lists this long non-coding RNA (568 nucleotides) under Zea mays. Its description in RNAcentral is "long non-coding RNA (ZMAY_LNC000973)". Lineage: Eukaryota; Viridiplantae; Streptophyta; Magnoliopsida; Poales; Poaceae. The record is from RNAcentral.
AAGUACGAACGAUGCUGGGUACCAGUCCAAGCAUUAUUACCUUAGCAUCCUGAAAUUAGGUAACAUCCAUAGGCAUGUCAAUAGCAAUUGCAGAUCCCUUCGGCAGUUCCAGGGCAUCAAUUGCAUUGGCCACGAGGCUGCUCUAGACAUAGGGAGAGAAAUUGGUUACAGGAUCAGAUUAUGAUGAAUCAAAAGCUUGGCUAUGAUCAAAACUGGCAAAACUUCUUAGAGCAGUAUACGGUUACCAAACUUUCUUCCUCAAUUCCUCCAGCGACAGCACGAAAACGCCAGCGCAUUUACAUCUCCGGGCUCCGGCGACCGAAGCGGUGACAGUACCCAGCGGCGCUGGUGCCGUUUGUCGAGCACUGCACUGCACAUUCAUGCUUGGUUUUUUAUCGGCGACUCGUUGAUAUAGACAUUAACGGGCGCUCUUCGGAUAGGUUCUUCUUAUCCGAACUAGGCAGAUCGAGAUUGCAUACACAGUAAAAGUGACGGAUUAUGAUGCACAUACCAUAGGAGGAUCCAACCGGAAAUGGCGGAGGAAGAGCCGACCAGAGAAGCUAGGAGC